Molecule: ribosomal RNA, 497 nt
Filed under: uncultured bacterium
Lineage: Bacteria
Description: partial 16S ribosomal RNA
Rfam family: Bacterial small subunit ribosomal RNA
Source: RNAcentral
GAUGAACGCUGGCGGCGUGCCUAAUACAUGCAAGUCGAACGCACAUACGAGGAGCUUGCUCCGCUGACGUUAGCGACGGGCGGGGGAGUAACGCGUGGAAAACCGACCUAUACGACUGGAAUAACUUGGGAAAACCGGAGCUAAUACCGGAUAAUAUAUUAAACCGCAUUAUUCAGUAGUGAAAGACGGUGAUGCUGGCACUUAUAGAUGGAUCCGCGCCGCAUUAGCUAGUUGGUAAGGUAACGGCUUACCAAGGCCACGAUGCGUAGCCGACCUGAGAGGGUGAUCGGCCACACUGGAACUGAGACACGGUCCAGACUCCUACGGGAGGCAGCAGUAGGGAAUCUUCCGCAAUGGGCGAAAGCCUGACGGAGCAACGCCGCGUGAGUGAUGAAGGUCUUCGGAUCGUAAAACUCUGUUAUUAGGGAAGAACAAAUGUGUAAGUAACUAUGCACGUCUUGACGGUACCUAAUCAGAAAGCCACGGCUAACUACGUG